RNAcentral lists this long non-coding RNA (1248 nucleotides) under Marmota monax (woodchuck). The record is from RNAcentral. Lineage: Eukaryota; Metazoa; Chordata; Mammalia; Rodentia; Sciuridae.
GGGGAACCAGGGGACCAUCCCCUAGCAGGAGGGACAUGACCUGCAGGAGAGCGUUAGUGGCUGCUGAGGUUCACGGUCAUGAAUCUAGGCGAGACCCCGGGUGGUCAAGAGUCCUUCUCCCGCCCACGUCAGAGCUCAGGCAAGCGUCAUGGCCACUGCCUUCCACGCAGCUCCCAGGCUGAGGGCUUGGGAGAUGAGCAGAGGAAACGGAGCACAGGAGGAGACCAGGACGGGAACACACAAGCAGGCGACCCUGACAUGUGACCUCAACCAAGUGAGGAGGGGCAGUGGCUUCGAACCCAAGGGGACCAGGACAAACCCUCCAGCUGCACUGGCUUUUCAUUGACUGUAAAAAUCACCAGCUUUGGAGCCACACAGAUGGGCAAUGUGUCACACGCCUCCCAGUAGCUCCCUGGAGGGCACCCCAUCGUGUGGCCUGGGGGUCUGAGGAAUGUCUGCUGAGGAGGGACAAGGCUGCUGUCCAGGGACCUGACCACUUUUGUCAAAACCACCGACUUCACAGGGUUAUGCAGACGAGCGGCUUCUUUGGCGCCAAGAAGCUGAGGACUCCACCCUCGGAUCAUGCAGAUGCUGAGCGUGGGUCCCCGCAGAGCCGUGAAGAUUGAUCCUAGUACACAGACCACCAGGAGGUCACCGUCCCCACGCCUCAGAAGGCCCUGCACCCCUAACCCAUAAACAUCCCCUAACCCGCCCUGGGGAGGUGGACUGGGGGCUUGGGACCCCUUUUGCAUGCUUGACCACCUUUGGAACACAUGACUCUGCCAAAUUCACCACUUCAGUGAGAGGCACACCGCACAGCAGGCAGGAUGGGACUGGUUCAGUCACAGCUGCAGGGAAGACAGGGACAGGGACAGGGAGUGGGAUCAGUAAGUUGUGUGCAGGUUCUUGAAGGCUCAGACCGGCAGAGUCCUGAUACUGUGAUAGCCAAGCCAAAAUGACUUCAUUUUUUUUUUUGUGACUCCAUUCUGUAAAACAACCAGGCCAAGCAGAAGGGUCAUGAUAUGGGCAAGGUGUUCUUCUCCUUUUGCUCUAGAAACCUUUAAGAACACGGAACUACCUAACGGGGCAUUGUUUCUGUAACUAGGGUAACGGGGCUCUGUUUCUGUAACUGGGGUGACUAGGCUAACUGUGAUUGACUAAGCGUCCCUUCGCCUGACUGCACUGUCCCGCUUCUGUAACUUGGCUUGCUUGCAUUUGGACCCCCAAAUGUCCCUUUUGAGGUUUUCA